UUUCAAUAAAUUGAUGUUAAUUGUUUGUUAUACACAAAUUAAUAAUAAUUAAAUAAUAAACAUUUUAUUUAACACUGAAAAGGAUUUAAUAAUUAAAAGUUUUAAAGUAAUUAUAUGUACCUUUUGCAUAAGGGAUUUUCUAUAAAAGUUAAAAAUUUAAAUUUCUAGAAAUAAAUUGAUCUAAAAAUUAUAUUAAUUUUAUAUUUCAUUAUAAAAAUAUAAAUAAUUUUUAGCGGUGAAAUGCUUUUCAAAAUUUGUGAUAUCUAGUUUUAUUAAAAGAAAUUAUAUAUUAUCCUAUAAUAUUUUUUUAUUAACAAAAUUAUAGGCUAUUAAUCUUGGGAUAAGCUAAGAUAAUUUUUUUUAAAAUUUGCCAAAAAAAAACAAAAAUAAAGAAUAAAAUUGUCUUUAAUAUUGUUAUAAAUAAUUUUUUGAAAUUUGUUUUAAAAUAAUUUAUUUUUUAACGUUAAAUAAAAAAUAUUUUUUAUUUUAAAAAAUGAGAAUAUUAGUAUAAGAUUUUAUAAAAUUUAAAAUAUAAAAUAUAAAAAUAAAAAUUAAUAAUCUAGAAUAAUAAAUUUAAGGAAUUCAACAAAUAUUUUCUCUGACUGUUUAAUAAAAACAACUUAUUUAGUUUAAUAUUAUUAAAUAUAAAUCCUGCUCAAUGAAAAAAUUUUAAAUUGCUGUAGUAUUUUGACUAUACAAAGGUAUUGUAAUAAGGUUUUAAUUGAAUGCUAAAAGAAUGGAGUUACAGAGAAAAAUUUUCUUAAAUUUAAUAAUUAAACUUAUUUUAAUUUGUGAAGAAACAAUUAUAUAAAUUAAAGACAAGAAGACCCUAAGAAUUUAUGAAUUUUUAUUUAUGUUUUAUAAUUAUUGUAUACAUAUUAAUAAUUCUUAGUUGGGGCAACUAAAAAAUAUAUUUAACUUUUUUUAUAUAAAAUGACCCAUUAUUAAUGAUUAUAUGAUAAAAAUACUCUAGGGAUAACAGCGUAAUAAUUUUUGAUAGAUCUUAUAGACAAAAUAGUUUGCGACCUCGAUGUUGGAUUAGGAUACUUCUUUAAUGAAGAUGUUAAAGAAAGAAGUUUGUUCAACUUUUAAAUUCCUACAUGAUCUGAGUUUAGACCGAUGAGAAUCAGGUUGGUUUCUAUCUUAAUUUUAAUUAAAUUUUGGCUAGUACGAAAGGAAUUCCAAAAAUUAAGUUUGUUAAAUUAAUUGAAUUAAUUUUAUUUGCAUCAUUUUUUGGAAUU
This 1241-nucleotide ribosomal RNA is filed under the name Dermacentor everestianus. RNAcentral's name for it is "16S ribosomal RNA". The record is from RNAcentral. Lineage: Eukaryota; Metazoa; Arthropoda; Arachnida; Ixodida; Ixodidae.